UUCAUUUCUAUACGACUCCAUGUGAGCAUCUUUUGACAAUGGGACCUCUCAAGUCACCAUAAAUUAGACAAGGAUUUGCCGACCUUUUUGCCAUUCCUCUCUCUAGCUAUACUGGUUUUCCUUCCGGCUCCCUGUAAUUCUUGGACAUAUGAGCUUCAUACAAAAUAGUCAAGAAUGUGAUUUUCAGCAAAGGGCAUCUUUCUUUGUUUUUGGCUAGGAGCCUUAGUU
RNAcentral lists this long non-coding RNA (228 nucleotides) under Panax ginseng (ginseng). RNAcentral describes it as "long non-coding RNA (PGIN_LNC011662)". Lineage: Eukaryota; Viridiplantae; Streptophyta; Magnoliopsida; Apiales; Araliaceae. The record is from RNAcentral.